GACGAACGCUGGCGGCGUGCUUAACACAUGCAAGUCGAACGAUGAAGAAAAGAAUCGAAGCUUCGGCAGAAAUUCAUUUCGGAUUGUGGGAGAAGGGUGAGGAACCCCUUGGCAACCUACCUCCUUCCAAAGGAUAAGCCCGGGGAACCGGGGUUAAUACCAAUAUACCUUUUUACGAAACCUUUCGAAGCCAUCAAAACUACGGCGGUAAGAGAUGGGCUCGCGGCCCAUUAACCGGGUGGUGAGGUAACGGCUCACCAUAGUGACGAUGGGUAACCGGCCUGAGAGGGUGAACGGUCACACUGGAACUGAGACACGGUCCAGACUCCUACGGGAGGCAGCAGUGGGGAAUAUUGCACAAUGGAGGGAACUCUGAUGCAGCGACGCCGCGUGAGUGAUGAAGGAAUUCGUUUCGUAAAACUCUGUUCUAUGGGAAGAAAAGGACUGUACCAUAGGAGAAAGCUCCGGCUAAAUACGUG
Molecule: ribosomal RNA, 479 nt
Filed under: uncultured bacterium
Lineage: Bacteria
Description: partial 16S ribosomal RNA
Rfam family: Bacterial small subunit ribosomal RNA
Source: RNAcentral